RNAcentral lists this ribosomal RNA (403 nucleotides) under uncultured bacterium. RNAcentral's name for it is "bacterial SSU rRNA". It matches the Rfam family "Bacterial small subunit ribosomal RNA", at positions 355 to 774 of the family's 1533-position model. The record is from RNAcentral.
UAGGGAAUAUUGCAAAAUGGGCGAAAGCCCGAUGCAGCAACGCCGCGUGGGCGAUGAAGGCCUUCGGGUCGUAAAGCCCUUUUUGAGGGGAUGAGGAAGGACAGUACCCUCAGAAUAAGCCUCGUCUAACUACGUGCCAGCAGCCGCGGUAAAACGUAGGAGGCGAGCGUUAUCCGGAUUUACUGGGCGUAAAGCGCGUGCAGGCGGAUUGGAGAGUUGGAUGUGAAAGCUCCCGGCUUAACUGGGAGAGGUCGUUCAAUACUUCCAGUCUUGAGUGCAGUAGAGGGAAGUGGAAUUCCGGGUGUAGUGGUGAAAUGCGUAGAUAUCCGGAGGAACACCAGUGGCGAAAGCGGCUUCCUGGACUGUAACUGACGCUCAGACGCGAAAGCUAGGGUAGCAAACG